Long non-coding RNA from Melozone crissalis (California towhee), 2728 nucleotides. RefSeq lists it as uncharacterized. NCBI's taxonomy places the organism in Eukaryota, Metazoa, Chordata, Aves, Passeriformes, Passerellidae. The transcript has 3 exons. The record is from RefSeq and is a predicted model, not a curated record.
UGAGGAAACUGUGAAAUUGUUUGGCAAUAACAUUAUUACUUCAUGUUCAUUUAAAAAUGAGAUUUAAUGAGAUAUUUUUCAUUUGUGUCAUUAAAAUUUCUGGGUGUUUGUUCUAAAAGUUUAAGCAGUUAUAUUUAGAAAGAAACAGUAAAACCUUUAAAGGUAACCAAGCCUUCAUAUCAAAGCACUAAAGCUCUCAAAAAAAAAAAAAAAUGAAGAGCUUUAAAAAGGGAUGCCAUUUUUAGCAAUGGUUGUGUUGCACUUGGCUUCCACACCCUGCACAGCUGCUGGCUGUGCCACCACUGCAGCCUGUGCCUGCUCUGAGUUUGGGCAGUACCUCUCUGUGUUUCUCAGAUGCCUCUUUUGUGCAGCAAUGUUAUGGAAUAUUAACAAUCACCGGUGCCUAAUUAGCUCAUUUUGCUUUGAACUCGGGUCCUUGUCAGCUUUGAUUGACACUCUUAAUUGUGACUCUCCUGAGCUCUGUUUUUAAAAAUGUUUGCACACAUCAGACAUUUGAUUUAGCUGACUUAUUCUCACCGUGGUUAAAUACUAAUCUGUGCAUUUGAAUUAUGGGUUUUUUCCUUCCCUAGAACCUGUGCCAUGGUUGUCCCUGACAUUGAGCUGGUCUCUGGAAUGAUGUUGGCUGCUGAAGGGUUUAUUGAUGCCUGUCUGUUAGCCAGGAAGUUCAUCACCUUCCAGCCUCUCUGCAGGGAGCUGCUCCCUGAACAGGCGUGAUCAGUGACCUGUUUCCAUCUCUGGAUGUUCUGAGGAUGGGGAACCUACAGUCUGAGCAGAUGGUUAAACAAUCUACCCUGGAGCUGUACUUGCAGCCAGAAGAGAACUUUAUUCUCAAAGAACAUCCACAUCUGCUGUACGUUCGUCCAAGGCAGCACGUCCUUACCUUCAUUGGAGUAUAUUGGAAAUAACCCAGCUAGUUGAAUGUUACUGAUCAGAGGAUUUAUAAAGGAUUUUUGACUCUUCUCUCCUAUUCCAUUAUCCUGACAGAAGGGUGAAAAACAGUAAGGUAUGCCUUGAGGUAUUAUGAACUCACAAUCAGCCUUCUAACAGAGUAUUUGUUUUCCUGCUAACUGAGUAAAUCAGAAGACAAGCACUGAGGAUCAUGAACUUGUUCCUGUUAGGCUUUGGAAAAUCAGAAUGAAUACUCUUCACUAAAACAGAAAUCCACAAGCAGCCAAGCUAUUUCUAUUCUGUGACUCAAAUAACUAUUUCUUUGGAAGCAUUGUAUUGCUUUAGGAGACUGUCUGUAUUUUCCAGCUGUACAACUGAUUGCAGAAUCCACUCUGCCAAAGCAGUGGCAAAAUUGUGGUAACUCUUCUGUGUCCUUGGGUUUCCACAGUCCUGCUGGACUGUGUGGCUGUCUGGCAGAAUAAGAUUUGUUCUCACUUGCUGAGGUAACUGCUUUAAUUCUUUUGCACUAACUCUUACCAUUUUCUGAGUGACUGUGUUGCUUGAUGCAACAUUAGCUUUGCUGAGGCAAAUCUGCCAAGAAAGUGCGAGCUUUUUUUUUUUUUCCUAUUAAAGGGAAUAAGAAUGCAGAGAGGGAAAAAAUCUUGUGAAUAAUUGUGUCUCUGUGAUAAGAACCACAGCAGGAGAGGAGGGGUGCUCCCUGUGUGUCCUUUCUGUGUGUAAGGAUGUUCAGCUGGAGGAGCAGCCAGCAGUGUGUCACUCUGUGUUUGUCGGUGGAAUUGCAGGGAAUGGGAAGGGUAAGGUACCUGCCUGCCUAUGCAGCAUGUUUUCCAUCUCACCUUGUAAAGAAACUGCCACGGCUCUUGCAUGAAAAAUUCUUCAUGUUGCCUUUGCCUGAGGCUGCAGGGUAAUAACACACUGCUGAGGCCGCUCGGUCAGCUGAAUGAUGAGCACUAGAAAGUGCAAAUGUUGCAAGCAAAUUCUACAUUUUAUGUGCUGUUUGCAUGUCCCAAAGGACAGUUAAUCACGGCAUGAAGUAAUGAGCAUUCAAUUUGACAGAUAGACUAAGUAAUACUUUGUUCUGGAAGGAGAAGUAGGAUGUUUUAAUUAGACUCCUAGACAGACGUCAUGGAAUGUCCUGCCAAAACACUAGACAAAUAAUUCUAAUACAUAAUGCUUGCUUAUUUAUGCUACUAAAUGUUGGCAGCUGCAUAGAUUUUCUUCUCCAUUUAACACUUUCCAUUAGAAUUGAGUGCAGAAUAUGGCUAUUUCAGACUGGGAAUCUCCUUUUCUGUCCUUAGGCUUAAUGGAAAUUUGGGGCUAAACUAGCACAGAGACAAGAAUAAAUUAAUGUAAACUGUUGGCUGAGUACAGGGUUUCAGUCCAAGCUCCAGUUCAGAAAAAAGUGAACAAUUCCUACUAUAUGAAAAUGAUGCUACUAACAUUCACCCUGCUCCUUCCCUUCUGGUCCUGAAAGUUCUUCAUCACAUGUAUGCGAACACAAAUUCCCAUUUGGAAUUGACUUUUAAUGCAGAAGUUCUGUCAGCUGAUGAACUGUGUGGUUUCAUACACCAGGAAACCUGAGAGUGGAAGGAUGGCAAGGAACACAUUUGCUCUUGCCAGGAUGUCAUUCUCCGUCCAAAAUGGACAAUACCAGAAUUCAGAGAAAAUAUAAGAGAUAGAAUUCUUCCAUUUUUCUGAGGUUUUGGUGCAGCGGGACGUGGAUGCAGAGCACUGGUGGUUCUGGAAAGGCUGGAGGGCAGGAUAGGAUGCUGGUAGACAGAAGGUAUGCACAGUUCUA